Molecule: ribosomal RNA, 292 nt
Filed under: uncultured bacterium
Lineage: Bacteria
Description: partial 16S ribosomal RNA
Source: RNAcentral
GGACUACUGGGGUAUCUAAUCCUGUUUGCUCCCCAUGCUUUCGCACCUCAGCGUCAGUAUUAGGCCAGAAGGCUGCCUUCGCCAUCGGUAUUCCUCCAGAUCUCUACGCAUUUCACCGCUACACCUGGAAUUCUACCUUCCUCUCCCAUACUCUAGCUUGCCAGUAUCGAAUGCAAUGCCUAGGUUGAGCCCAGGGAUUUCACAUCCGACUUAACAAGCCGCCUACGCGCGCUUUACGCCCAGUAAUUCCGAUUAACGCUCGCACCCUCUGUAUUACCGCGGCUGCUGGCAC